RNAcentral lists this ribosomal RNA (137 nucleotides) under uncultured eukaryote. RNAcentral's name for it is "partial 18S ribosomal RNA". It matches the Rfam family "Eukaryotic small subunit ribosomal RNA", at positions 1299 to 1458 of the family's 1831-position model. The record is from RNAcentral.
UGGUGGAGUGAUUUGUCUGGUUAAUUCCGUUAACGAACGAGACCUUAUCCUGCUAAAUAGAUGCGGGCAGUUAAAUGUCAGUGUACUUCUUAGAGGGACGUCGUGCGUCUAGCACGAGGAAGUUUGAGGCGAUAACA